Molecule: ribosomal RNA, 253 nt
Filed under: uncultured bacterium
Lineage: Bacteria
Description: partial 16S ribosomal RNA
Rfam family: Bacterial small subunit ribosomal RNA
Source: RNAcentral
UACGUAGGGUGCGAGCGUUGUCCGGAAUUACUGGGCGUAAAGCGCGUGUAGGCGGAUGGGCAAGUCUGCUGUGAAAGCUCCUGGCUUAACCGGGAGUGGUCGGUGGAAACUGCUAAUCUGGAGGACGGUAGAGGUAGGUAGAAUUCCCGGUGUAGUGGUGAAAUGCGUAGAGAUCGGGAGGAAUACCUGUGGCGAAGGCGGCCUACUGGGCCGGACCUGACGCUGAGACGCGAAGGCGUGGGGAGCGAACGGG